Molecule: ribosomal RNA, 253 nt
Filed under: uncultured bacterium
Lineage: Bacteria
Description: partial 16S ribosomal RNA
Rfam family: Bacterial small subunit ribosomal RNA
Source: RNAcentral
UACGUAGGGUGCAAGCGUUGUCCGGAAUUAUUGGGCGUAAAGAGCUCGUAGGCGGUCUGUCGCGUCUGCUGUGAAAACCCGGGGCUCAACCCCGGGCUUGCAGUGGAUACGGGCAGACUAGAGUUCGGUAGGGGAGACUGGAAUUCCUGGUGUAGCGGUGAAAUGCGCAGAUAUCGGGAGGAACACCUAUGGCGAAGGCAGCUCGCUGGGACGUUACUGACGCUGAGACGCGAAAGCGUGGGGAGCAAACAGG